This 500-nucleotide ribosomal RNA is filed under the name uncultured bacterium. RNAcentral's name for it is "partial 16S ribosomal RNA". It matches the Rfam family "Bacterial small subunit ribosomal RNA", at positions 29 to 523 of the family's 1533-position model. The record is from RNAcentral.
AUUGAACGCUGGCGGCAUGCCUUACACAUGCAAGUCGAACGGUAACGCGGGGGCAACCCUGGCGACGAGUGGCGAACGGGUGAGUAAUACAUCGGAACGUACCUGGUAGUGGGGGAUAGCCCGGCGAAAGCCGGAUUAAUACCGCAUACGCACCACGGUGGAAAGCGGGGGACCGCAAGGCCUCGCGCUAUCAGAGCGGCCGAUGGCAGAUUAGCUAGUUGGUGGGGUAAAAGCCUACCAAGGCGACGAUCUGUAGCUGGUCUGAGAGGACGACGAGCCACACUGGGACUGAGACACGGCCCAGACUCCUACGGGAGGCAGCAGUGGGGAAUUUUGGACAAUGGGGGAAACCCUGAUCCAGCGAUGCCGCGUGUGUGAAGAAGGCCUUCGGGUUGUAAAGCACUUUUGUUCGGGAAGAAAUCUGUCGGGCUAAUACCCUGGCGGGAUGACGGUACCGGAAGAAUAAGCACCGGCUAACUACGUGCCAGCAGCCGCCGUAA